GACGAACGCUGGCGGCGUGCUUAACACAUGCAAGUCGAACGGAAAGGCCCUGCUUGUGUGGGGUGCUCGAGUGGCGAACGGGUGAGUAACACGUGAGUAACCUGCCCUUGACUUUGGGAUAACUUCAGGAAACUGGGGCUAAUACCGGAUAGGAGCUCCUGCUGCAUGGUGGGGGUUGGAAAGUUUCGGCGGUUGGGGAUGGACUCGCGGCUUAUCAGCUUGUUGGGGGGGUAGUGGCUUAGCAAGUCUUUGACGGGUAGCCGGCCUGAGAGGGUGACCAGCCACAUUGGGACUGAGGUAGGGCCCAGACUGCUACGGGAGGCAGCAGUGGGGAAUAUUGCACAAUGGGCGGAAGCCUGAUGCAGCAAUGCCGCGUGUGGGAUGACGGCCUUCGGGUUGUAAACCGCUUUCGCCUGUGACGAAGCGUGAGUGACGGUAAUGGGUAAAGAAGCACCGGCUAACUACGUG
Molecule: ribosomal RNA, 468 nt
Filed under: uncultured bacterium
Lineage: Bacteria
Description: partial 16S ribosomal RNA
Rfam family: Bacterial small subunit ribosomal RNA
Source: RNAcentral